GGGCUAUUAGCUCAGCGGCAGAGCGCGCCCCUGCCGCGGGCGAGGUCUCUGGUUCAAGCCCAGGAUGGCCCA
Molecule: transfer RNA, 72 nt
Filed under: Microlepia speluncae
Lineage: Eukaryota; Viridiplantae; Streptophyta; Polypodiopsida; Polypodiales; Dennstaedtiaceae
Description: tRNA-Ile
Rfam family: tRNA
About the family: Transfer RNA (tRNA) molecules are approximately 80 nucleotides in length. Their secondary structure includes four short double-helical elements and three loops (D, anti-codon, and T loops). Further hydrogen bonds mediate the characteristic L-shaped molecular structure. tRNAs have two regions of fundamental functional importance: the anti-codon, which is responsible for specific mRNA codon recognition, and the 3' end, to which the tRNAs corresponding amino acid is attached (by aminoacyl-tRNA synthetases). tRNAs cope with the degeneracy of the genetic code in two manners: having more than one tRNA (with a specific anti-codon) for a particular amino acid; and 'wobble' base-pairing, i.e. permitting non-standard base-pairing at the 3rd anti-codon position.
Source: RNAcentral